Molecule: long non-coding RNA, 194 nt
Organism: Lathyrus oleraceus (garden pea)
Lineage: Eukaryota; Viridiplantae; Streptophyta; Magnoliopsida; Fabales; Fabaceae
Exons: 3
Source: RefSeq, a predicted model, not a curated record
UAUUUGAUGACAGUUGAUGGGUUGCAUGCAUACUUUGAAUGUAGUUUUCCUUCUUUUGGAUACAAUGCUGAACAAUCUUUCUUUUCCGUGGUUUAGAAUCGCGUAUUUUGUGCUUUGGAGCUGCUCCUAUAUUAUUUUUCAAUGGGUUAUACAUGCAUGUGGUUUCACAUGGUGGCCUUAUCCAUUUCUCGAGA